Molecule: ribosomal RNA, 377 nt
Filed under: uncultured bacterium
Lineage: Bacteria
Description: bacterial SSU rRNA
Rfam family: Bacterial small subunit ribosomal RNA
Source: RNAcentral
AUACGUAGGGGGCGAGCGUUGUCCGGAAUUACUGGGCGUAAAGGGAGUGUAGGCGGUCUUUUAAGUUGGAUGUGAAAUCCCCGGGCUUAACUUGGGGGGUGCAUUCAAAACUGGGGGACUAGAGUACAGGAGAGGGAAGCGGAAUUCCUAGUGUAGCGGUGAAAUGCGUAGAUAUUAGGAGGAACACCGGUGGCGAAGGCGGCUUUCUGGACUGACACUGACGCUGAGGCUCGAAAGCGUGGGGAGCAAACAGGAUUAGAUACCCUGGUAGUCCACGCUGUAAACGAUGAAUACUAGGUGUAGGGGGUAUGAACUCCCUCUGUGCCGAAGCAAACGCAAUAAGUAUUCCGCCUGGGGAGUACGGCCGCAAGGUUGAA